AAAUUUUAUAAAGUGUUUUACUUCAAUGAUUAUACUGUAAGGAUUUCAUAAAUAAUCUUUUAAUUGAUUAGAGUCAAGAGCUCUAUUUAAAUUUAAUUCAUCUUAACCGUAGCCUACUUCCCCACCAUUACAUUUUUUUUUUCUUUCUUUUUCCCCACCACUACACCUACUCUUUCACUUCACUACCAACUUUCACCACCAACUCUCCUUUAUGCAGACAAUCAAAUCCUCAUAAUCUUAGCAAAUCUUAUCAUCAAAAUCUUAUCAUCAAUCCUCUGCCAUUUCAAUUAGACAAAAGCCAAGUUUUAAAAGCUAAGUUUCCUUCUAUUAGUUCAUCCGCUCUUUCCUUCUCUUUUCAACACACCCAACAAAGUUUAAAGUGCAGAGUAAUCAAGCAGAUUCAGAUCCAAAUUCAUUGUUAAAUUGUUGAUUCGCAGAUCAAACUUUGUGAGUUCAGAAAAUUAUCAAGGUUCGGGCGACAGAAAGUGAAGCCGAAGAAGAAACGACUCCACGCCAGCUUUAAGAACAAUUGAGGUUGAGCAGGCGAUGGAAUGGAUCGGUGUUGAGCGGAUUUCCCUUUUGAUGUUUAUGUAAUGAAACCUUGAGUAUGCAUCUCCAUAUGCAUAACUCACACGUUUUUUCGCUGCAAACACUCUGAAUUUGUUAUCGUAUUGUGGAACUUAUUACUCCUUCAUUUUGUUUAACUUUCAUUUGGGGUUUAGUCGUUAUGGCUGGCUCGUUUGUUAAUUACCCAAGUGGUUAUAUAUAUAUACCACUAGUUUGUUGUUA
Salvia miltiorrhiza (redroot sage) is the source of this 789-nucleotide long non-coding RNA. RefSeq lists it as uncharacterized. The record is from RefSeq and is a predicted model, not a curated record. NCBI's taxonomy places the organism in Eukaryota, Viridiplantae, Streptophyta, Magnoliopsida, Lamiales, Lamiaceae. The transcript is spliced from 4 exons.